CCCCUAGAUGUUCUGGGCCGCACGCGCGCUACACUGAACAGUUCAACAAGUCUUAACCUUGGCCGAUAGGUCUGGGUAAUCUUUGAACGCUGUUCGUGAUUGGGAUAGACCUUUGCAAUUAUGGGUCUUCAACGAGGAAUUCCUAGUAAACGCAAGUCAUCAGCUUGCAUUGAUUACGUCCCUGCCCUUUGUACACACCGCCCGUCGCACCUACCGAUUGAAUGGUCCGGUGAAAUCUCGGGACGGCGGCUCGGUCGCUUGCGUCCGACUGCUGAAACUUGAUUAAACCAUAUCAUUUAGAGGAAGGUGAAGUCGUGACA
This 320-nucleotide ribosomal RNA is filed under the name uncultured eukaryote. RNAcentral describes it as "partial 18S ribosomal RNA". It matches the Rfam family "Eukaryotic small subunit ribosomal RNA", at positions 1470 to 1796 of the family's 1831-position model. The record is from RNAcentral.